This 336-nucleotide ribosomal RNA is filed under the name uncultured Streptococcus sp. RNAcentral's name for it is "bacterial SSU rRNA". It matches the Rfam family "Bacterial small subunit ribosomal RNA", at positions 1045 to 1382 of the family's 1533-position model. The record is from RNAcentral. Lineage: Bacteria; Bacillati; Bacillota; Bacilli; Lactobacillales; Streptococcaceae.
AUGGUUGUCGUCAGCUCGUGUCGUGAGAUGUUGGGUUUAAGUCCCGCAACGAGCGCAACCCCUAUUGUUAGUUGCCAUCAUUCAGUUGGGCACUCUAGCGAGACUGCCGGUAAUAAACCGGAGGAAGGUGGGAUGACGUCAAAUCAUCAUGCCCCUUAUGACCUGGGCUACACACGUGCUACAAUGGUUGGUACAACGAGUUGCGAGUCGGUGACGGCGAGCUAAUCUCUUAAAGCCAAUCUCAGUUCGGAUUGUAGGCUGCAACUCGCCUACAUGAAGUCGGAAUCGCUAGUAAUCGCGGAUCAGCACGCCGCGGUGAAUACGUUCCCGGGCCUU